GGGGGUAUAGCUCAGUGGUAGAGCUUUCGACUGCUAAUCGAGAGGUCCCCGGUUCAAAGCAAGGUGUCCCCU
This is a non-coding RNA of Trichonephila clavipes, 72 nucleotides long. NCBI's taxonomy places the organism in Eukaryota, Metazoa, Arthropoda, Arachnida, Araneae, Nephilidae. The record is from the annotation of a GenBank genome assembly.